This 306-nucleotide unclassified non-coding RNA is filed under the name plant metagenome. RNAcentral describes it as "partial contains 5.8S ribosomal RNA, internal transcribed spacer 2, and large subunit ribosomal RNA". The stretch from base 1 to 105 matches the Rfam family "5.8S ribosomal RNA", at positions 50 to 154 of the family's 154-position model. The record is from RNAcentral.
GAAAUGCGAUAAGUAAUGUGAAUUGCAGAAUUCAGUGAAUCAUCGAAUCUUUGAACGCACAUUGCGCCCGCCAGUAUUCUGGCGGGCAUGCCUGUCCGAGCGUCAUUUCAACCAUCAAGCCCCCGGGCUUGUGUUGGGGACCUGCGGCUACCCGCAGGCCCUGAAAACCAGUGGCGGGCUCGCUGUCACACCGAGCGUAGUAGCAAUCACCUCGCUCAGGGCGUGCUGCGGGUUCCGGCCGUUAAACAGCCUUACAAAACCCAAGGUUGACCUCGGAUCAGGUAGGAAGACCCGCUGAACUUAAGC